This 465-nucleotide ribosomal RNA is filed under the name uncultured bacterium. RNAcentral describes it as "partial 16S ribosomal RNA". It matches the Rfam family "Bacterial small subunit ribosomal RNA", at positions 28 to 507 of the family's 1533-position model. The record is from RNAcentral.
GACGAACGCUGGCGGCGUGCUUAACACAUGCAAGUCGAACGGUAAGGCCCCUUCGGGGGUACACGAGUGGCGAACGGGUGAGUAACACGUGAGCAACCUGCCCUUGACUCUGGAAUAACAGUUGGAAACAGCUGCUAAUACUGGAUAUUCAUCGUCUCCUUCCUGGGGGGUGGUGGAAAGCUCCGGCGGUCAGGGAUAGGCUCGCGGCCUAUCAGCUUGUUGGUGAGGUAAUGGCUCACCAAGGCUUCGACGGGUAGCCGGCCUGAGAGGGCGACCGGCCACACUGGGACUGAGAUACGGCCCAGACUCCUACGGGAGGCAGCAGUGGGGAAUAUUGCACAAUGGGCGCAAGCCUGAUGCAGCAACGCCGCGUGCGGGAUGACGGCCUUCGGGUUGUAAACCGCUUUCAGUAGGGACGAAGGGUGACUGACGGUACCUACAGAAGAAGGACCGGCUAACUACGUG